This 467-nucleotide ribosomal RNA is filed under the name uncultured bacterium. RNAcentral's name for it is "partial 16S ribosomal RNA". It matches the Rfam family "Bacterial small subunit ribosomal RNA", at positions 28 to 506 of the family's 1533-position model. The record is from RNAcentral.
GACGAACGCUGGCGGCGUGCUUAACACAUGCAAGUCGAACGGAAAGGCCCUGCUUUUGUGGGGUGCUCGAGUGGCGAACGGGUGAGUAACACGUGAGUAACCUGCCCUUGACUUUGGGAUAACUUCAGGAAACUGGGGCUAAUACCGGAUAGGAGCUCCUGCUGCAUGGUGGGGGUUGGAAAGUUUCGGCGGUUGGGGAUGGACUCGCGGCUUAUCAGCUUGUUGGUGGGGUAGUGGCUUACCAAGGCUUUGACGGGUAGCCGGCCUGAGAGGGUGACCGGCCACAUUGGGACUGAGAUACGGCCCAGACUACUACGGGAGGCAGCAGUGGGGAAUAUUGCACAAUGGGAGGAAGCCUGAUGCAGCAACGCCGCGUGCGGGAUGACGGCCUUCGGGUUGUAAACCGCUUUCGCCUGUGACGAAGCGUGAGUGACGGUAAUGGGUAAAGAAGCACCGGCUAACUACGU